This 235-nucleotide ribosomal RNA is filed under the name uncultured Acholeplasma sp. Its description in RNAcentral is "partial 16S ribosomal RNA". It matches the Rfam family "Bacterial small subunit ribosomal RNA", at positions 796 to 1041 of the family's 1533-position model. The record is from RNAcentral. Lineage: Bacteria; Bacillati; Mycoplasmatota; Mollicutes; Acholeplasmatales; Acholeplasmataceae.
CACGCCGUAAACGAUGAGUACUAAGUGUCGGAAGAAUCCGGUGCUGCAGUUAACGCAUUAAGUACUCCGCCUGAGUAGUACGUGCGCAAGCAUAAAACUCAAAGGAAUUGGCGGGACCUCGCACAAGCGGUGGAUCAUGUUGUUUAAUUCGACGAUACGCGAAGAACCGGACCAGGCCUUGACAUACCGAGCAAAGCUAUGGAAACAUAGUGGAGGUUAACUGGGAUACAGGUGG